GCGGCUCCCAGCGUUAGGACUACAAUUCCCAGAACACACGGCGCGACAACUCUUCGCGCGCGCCUCAGAGGCGGGACCUCACCGAGGGAGUGGAGCAGCAAGCAGAGGGAGGAGAAGAGUGGUGGUGGGCGGAGCCCUGCCACCUGCUCUCGCCACCCUUAAACUCUCCGGGUCUCGAGCUGCGCUGAAAACAGGAAAACGGCUUGUUUUGCUCGGGAAAGUUCUGAGCUUUCGCUUUUACGUCCCGCCUCUGGCCCAGGGCUAACUUUCCCCACCUGUCCGGGAGGUCAAGGUGACUACCAGUCUUACAAGUGGAGACUCACAAACUUCCAGGGCUGGAGGGUUGCUGAGGUGCCGCACUUGCCUCACGAAGGAAGGACCCGUCCUUAGCUGAUCAGUUGCUGGAGUCGCCCUCCUGCAGCCCCAAUAAUGAAUUGAGGCUCUUCUGUUUAAUAUGAGGCGGAAUACGCUUCCUCUCGCGGGGACUGAACUCGAGCAGCAGAAUCAACCCAAAAGACAAGUUGAACUAUCAUAUGUGCUAUGAACAACCUUAAUGUCGACAACAACUUGUUAGGCCUCUCACUGCUGCGGCCUCUCUACCGUUGCGGAGCACCGGC
Molecule: long non-coding RNA, 617 nt
Organism: Aethalodelphis obliquidens (Pacific white-sided dolphin)
Lineage: Eukaryota; Metazoa; Chordata; Mammalia; Artiodactyla; Delphinidae
Exons: 3
Source: RefSeq, a predicted model, not a curated record